Molecule: long non-coding RNA, 252 nt
Filed under: Mytilus galloprovincialis (Mediterranean mussel)
Lineage: Eukaryota; Metazoa; Mollusca; Bivalvia; Mytilida; Mytilidae
Source: RNAcentral
AGCCUUUUUCAACUGAUUUUUAUAGUUCGUUCUUAUGUUGUACUGUUAUACCACUGUCCCAGGUUAGGGGAGGGUUGGGAUCCUGCUAACAUGUUUAACCCCGCCACAUUAUUUAUGUAUGUGCCUGUCCCAAGUCAGGAGCCUAUAAUUCAGUGGUUGUCGUUUGUUUAUGUGUUAUAUAUAUACAUAUUUGUUUUUCGUUCAUUUUUUUUUAUAUAAAUAAGGCCGUUAGUUUUCUCGUUUGAAUUGUUU